CGGCGGACGGGUGAGUAACACGUGGAUAACCUACCUAUAAGACUGGGAUAACUUCGGGAAACCGGAGCUAAUACCGGAUAAUAUAUUGAACCGCAUGGUUCAAUAGUGAAAGACGGUUUUGCUGUCACUUAUAGAUGGAUCCGCGCCGCAUUAGCUAGUUGGUAAGGUAACGGCUUACCAAAGGCAACGAUGCGUAGCCGACCUGAGAGGGUGAUCGGCCACACUGGAACUGAGACACGGUCCAGACUCCUACGGGAGGCAGCAGUU
RNAcentral lists this ribosomal RNA (267 nucleotides) under uncultured Staphylococcus sp. RNAcentral describes it as "partial 16S ribosomal RNA". It matches the Rfam family "Bacterial small subunit ribosomal RNA", at positions 96 to 355 of the family's 1533-position model. Lineage: Bacteria; Bacillati; Bacillota; Bacilli; Caryophanales; Staphylococcaceae. The record is from RNAcentral.